RNAcentral lists this ribosomal RNA (643 nucleotides) under uncultured marine eukaryote. RNAcentral's name for it is "bacterial SSU rRNA". It matches the Rfam family "Eukaryotic small subunit ribosomal RNA", at positions 1 to 598 of the family's 1831-position model. The record is from RNAcentral.
UACCUGGUUGAUCCUGCCAGUAGUCAUAUGCUUGUUUCAAGGACUAAGCCAUGCAAGUCUCAGAAUAAAUGGAUCACAGUGAGUCUGCAGACAGCUCAUUAAAUCAGCUACAAUCUACGCCGAGAAACUGCCUUGUGGCAGACUAUUGGAUAACUUUGGUAACCCCAAAGCUAAUACAUGUCAGCAAAACCCACACAGAUUCCACCUCGGGGCCUUGGUUCUGGGGCUGUGUUGGGUGCAAUUGACCGAAACAAAAACCAACGCUAGCAAUAGCAGCGGUGAUUGGAUGACUCAGGUCAAUCGAGUAGUAGCGCAUACUUCGGUGGCGCUUGUCGGCAUGAGCAUCUGCCCUAUCAGCUUUUGACGGUAGUGUAGUGGAUUACCGUGGCUGUAACGGGUAACGGGGAAUUAGGGUUCGAUUCCGGAGAGGGAGCCCGAGAAACGGCUACCACAACUAAGGUUGGCAGCAGGCGCGCAAAUUGCCCAAUAGCAACACAUCGCUGAGGCAGCGAAGAGAAAUAGCAACUUCAUGCGGCCCUGCCGUGUGAAGAUUGCCAUGGACGAUAUCUAAACCUGUCGGUGAGUAUCAAUUUGGUGGACAAAGUCUGGUGCCAGCACCCGCGGUAAUUCCAGCACCAAUAGC